Long non-coding RNA from Ixodes scapularis (black-legged tick), 429 nucleotides. RefSeq lists it as uncharacterized. The transcript has 3 exons. The record is from RefSeq and is a predicted model, not a curated record. NCBI's taxonomy places the organism in Eukaryota, Metazoa, Arthropoda, Arachnida, Ixodida, Ixodidae.
GUGGCGGCAAGAGAGCAACAGUGGCUGCAACAGAUGCUGUGAUUGGCAGUGUCAAUCAAGCUACACCUUCAGAGGGGAAUCGUCAUAAACAACGUGCCGGCGGAUAAGAUGAAGCCCAACAAAAAAGCCGACAAUUGUGGCCAAAGAUACGGCACAGGCCAUUUGGACUCGAGCAGGGUUGGCAAGUCGUAGUGUGAAAGGGGUUCCGGCGCCUCCCAAGAAAGGGGCUACGAGCAAAAGCGAAGCCAGCACUAACCUCAGAAAAAAAUUGAGAUAGUCGCAGCGACAGUGUCCCACUGGGGCAAGUCAAAGAGGGUCGACGUGGGAGCUGUGCUUCAGAACCUUACCUCUGUACUUACAGAGAAAAUCCAGGACAACAUGAAGGCUGAAAGCAGAUUGAUGAGCAGCAAUGCUAACUAGAAUGCCUGA